UACGUAGGUGGCAAGCGUUAUCCGGAUUUACUAGGUGUAAAGGGCGUGUAGGCGGGAAAGCAAGUCAGAUGUGAAAACCAUGGGCUCAACCUGUGGCCUGCAUUUGAAACUGUUUUUCUUGAGUACUGGAGAGGCAGACGGAAUUCCUAGUGUAGCGGUGAAAUGCGUAGAUAUUAGGAGGAACACCAGUGGCGAAGGCGGUCUGCUGGACAGCAACUGACGCUGAGGCGCGAAAGCGUGGGGAGCAAACAGG
RNAcentral lists this ribosomal RNA (253 nucleotides) under uncultured bacterium. RNAcentral describes it as "partial 16S ribosomal RNA". It matches the Rfam family "Bacterial small subunit ribosomal RNA", at positions 524 to 776 of the family's 1533-position model. The record is from RNAcentral.